GACAGAGGAGCCAAGCGUUGUCCGGAGUAACUGGGCGUAAAGGGUCCGCAGGCGGCGCGGCGCGUGGGGUGUGAAAGCUGGCGGCUUAACUGCCAGAGGCCACCUCAUACGGCCGCGCUCGAGCGUGGCAGAGGUCCGUGGAAUUGCCGGUGUAGUGGUGAAAUGCGUAGAGAUCGGCAGGAACACCCAGGGGGAAACCAGCGGACUGGGCCAGCGCUGACGCUCAGGGACGAAAGCGUGGGGAGCGAACUGG
Molecule: ribosomal RNA, 253 nt
Filed under: uncultured bacterium
Lineage: Bacteria
Description: partial 16S ribosomal RNA
Rfam family: Bacterial small subunit ribosomal RNA
Source: RNAcentral